GAGUUUGAUCCUGGCUCAGAGUGAACGCUGGCGGCAGGCCUAACACAUGCAAGUCGAACGGCAGCACAGCAGUAGCAAUACUGUGGGCGGCGAGUGGCGGACGGGUGAGGAAUGCAUCGGAAUCUGCCUAUUUGUGGGGGAUAACGUAGGGAAACUUACGCUAAUACCGCAUACGUCCUACGGGAGAAAGUGGGGGACCUUCGGGCCUCACGCAGAUAGAUGAGCCGAUGCCGGAUUAGCUAGUUGGCGGGGUAAAGGCCCACCAAGGCGACGAUCCGUAGCUGGUCUGAGAGGAUGAUCAGCCACACUGGAACUGAGACACGGUCCAGACUCCUACGGGAGGCAGCAGUGGGGAAUAUUGGACAAUGGGCGCAAGCCUGAUCCAGCCAUGCCGCGUGAGUGAAGAAGGCC
This 411-nucleotide ribosomal RNA is filed under the name uncultured Gammaproteobacteria bacterium. Its description in RNAcentral is "bacterial SSU rRNA". It matches the Rfam family "Bacterial small subunit ribosomal RNA", at positions 9 to 416 of the family's 1533-position model. Lineage: Bacteria; Pseudomonadati; Pseudomonadota; Gammaproteobacteria. The record is from RNAcentral.